This 405-nucleotide ribosomal RNA is filed under the name uncultured bacterium. RNAcentral describes it as "bacterial SSU rRNA". It matches the Rfam family "Bacterial small subunit ribosomal RNA", at positions 354 to 776 of the family's 1533-position model. The record is from RNAcentral.
GUGGGGAAUAUUGGACAAUGGGGGCAACCCUGAUCCAGCCAUGCCGCGUGCGUGAAGAAGGCCUUAGGGUUGUAAAGCGCUUUCGGCGGGGAAGAUGAUGACGGUACCCGCAGAAGAAGCCCCGGCUAACUCCGUGCCAGCAGCCGCGGUAAUACGGAGGGGGCAAGCGUUGUUCGGAAUUACUGGGCGUAAAGGGCGCGUAGGCGGACCAUCAUGUCAGGGGUGAAAGCCCUGGGCUCAACCUGGGAACUGCCCUUGAAACUGGUGGUCUAGAGGCCGAGAGAGGAUGGCGGAAUUCCCAGUGUAGAGGUGAAAUUCGUAGAUAUUGGGAAGAACACCAGUGGCGAAGGCGGCCAUCUGGCUCGGUUCUGACGCUGAGGCGCGAAAGCGUGGGGAGCAAACAGG